UUACAUUAAGAGAUUAAAAGAGAGGCACGACAUGCAAGUCGUAUUUUAAAAUCCCAAAAUAAAAUAAAGGAAAACUAAGGCCACAACCGAUCACCACAAGACAAUAAUAAUAAACACAUUAUUAUUAUUAAUUUAAAUUCUGUUAAUUAAUUAAAAUCAAGUUAAAUUUCAGCGACCAAUCACAUUACGCAGAGUUAGCCGGGGGUUCUCACAUUUGAAAUCGACGUCGUUUUUCGCAUCAACACUUAAUACUUUAAAGCACAACUCUUGCGCAGUCA
Molecule: long non-coding RNA, 278 nt
Filed under: Lathyrus oleraceus (garden pea)
Lineage: Eukaryota; Viridiplantae; Streptophyta; Magnoliopsida; Fabales; Fabaceae
Description: Pisum sativum (pea) long non-coding RNA (PSAT_LNC037542)
Source: RNAcentral